This 237-nucleotide long non-coding RNA is filed under the name Marmota monax (woodchuck). Lineage: Eukaryota; Metazoa; Chordata; Mammalia; Rodentia; Sciuridae. The record is from RNAcentral.
ACUGAGCUUCUGUGUUAAGCAGGUAGCAGCACACCUACAGGUUCUGGGGCCAGGAAAAUAAACGGAUUAGCACUCCCACCCUGAAAAAACAAACAAAUCUAUAGAUAGAUUCUUAGCUAGGCAGCCAAGAAGAGUCCUAGAUUUUCAUACUACUUUUACCACAUUCCACAACCCCUUUGGGCUAAGUUGACUCCAUACCCGUGUGAAAUGCUCACCAAUUUCUGAUCUCUGUUGAGU